RNAcentral lists this small nuclear RNA (23 nucleotides) under Arabidopsis thaliana (thale cress). Its description in RNAcentral is "snRNA_07116". Lineage: Eukaryota; Viridiplantae; Streptophyta; Magnoliopsida; Brassicales; Brassicaceae. The record is from RNAcentral.
AUACGAUUUUACGGUUUUGGUGG